Sander lucioperca (pikeperch) is the source of this 200-nucleotide long non-coding RNA. RefSeq lists it as uncharacterized. The transcript is spliced from 3 exons. Lineage: Eukaryota; Metazoa; Chordata; Actinopteri; Perciformes; Percidae. The record is from RefSeq and is a predicted model, not a curated record.
ACACCACCUCUCCAGAUCCGAACCCGCGUGGAAGAAGAAGAAAAAAUACAAUCCACAUGGACUGCAAACUGCAAAAUAUUCAUCAAGCUGAAUGGAACACCAGAGCAAGCUAAAGUUCUAGUCAUUAGGGACUUGGAGGAGCUGGAUAAAUACCAAUGAGACAUGAUGAUAAGGUAAUAGCUUUUACACCCAGUAGUAAG